AUGGACGCACGGAUGCAGCUGGUACUUCAGGUCGGAGCACUGAUAGCUGUGAUUCAGGCAUGGGUCAUGUUCAUGCACAAGAAAGUUGUUCGUCAUGCUGAGAGACUUGUCAUCAGAUAUGGUCCAAUGCUUAUGCAGGAGCAAGAGAGAAUCUCCAAUCUGAACUACAUAUACAACUGCAACGACACAGAGGCUCUGUGGAUGCUUAGAAUGAAAAGAGCACCAUUUGCCGGACUUGUUCAGACCUUCAGGUCCGGGCUGCUAGAAGAUAGCAUCCACACCAGUGGGGAUGAUCAAGUGGCCAUGUUCCUUCAUAUUGUUAGCCAUAACCAAAGGUUCAGGGUUAUCCACAACACGUUCAGGAGAUCAAUGGAGACCAUCUCAAGGUACUUCAAGCAAGUGUCCUAUGAUGUUGGGGAGUCCAGACGAGAGAUGAUAAAGUCACCAACUGACCAGACUCCUACCAUGAUUCACACAAGUCCAAGACGGUAUCCAUACUUCAAGGUGAGCACUGCAGUAUGUAUGUAG
This 528-nucleotide ribosomal RNA is filed under the name Triticum aestivum (bread wheat). RNAcentral's name for it is "partial small subunit ribosomal RNA". The record is from RNAcentral. Lineage: Eukaryota; Viridiplantae; Streptophyta; Magnoliopsida; Poales; Poaceae.